CCUACGGGAGGCUGCAGUGGGGGAUAUUGCACAAUGGGGGAAACUCUGAUGCAGCGACGCCGCGUGGGCGAAGAAGUAUUUCGGUAUGUAAAGCCCUAUUAGCAGGGAAGAAGAAAUGACGGUACCCGAGUAAGAAGCACCGGCUAAAUACGUGACAGCAGCCGCGGUAAUACGUAUGGUGCAAGCGUUAUCCGGAUUUACUGGGUGUAACGGGAGCGCAGGCGGUAGGGCAAGCCUGAUGUGAAAGCUCGCGGCCCAACCGCGGGACUGCAUUGGGUACUACCGGGCUAGAGUGCCGGAGAGGUAGGCGGAAUGCCUGGUGUAGCGGUGAAAUGCGUAGAGAUUA
Molecule: ribosomal RNA, 346 nt
Filed under: uncultured bacterium
Lineage: Bacteria
Description: partial 16S ribosomal RNA
Rfam family: Bacterial small subunit ribosomal RNA
Source: RNAcentral